Molecule: ribosomal RNA, 253 nt
Filed under: uncultured bacterium
Lineage: Bacteria
Description: partial 16S ribosomal RNA
Rfam family: Bacterial small subunit ribosomal RNA
Source: RNAcentral
UACGUAGGCAGCAAGCGUUGUUCGGAGUUACUGGGCGUAAAGGGUGUGUAGGCGGCCCCCUAAGUUUGGUGUGAAAUCUCCCGGCUUAACCGGGAGGGUGCGCCGAAGACUGGAGGGCUAGAGUGCGGGAUGGGAGAGUGGAAUUCCAGGUGUAGCGGUGAAAUGCGUAGAUAUCUGGAGGAACACCGGUGGCGAAGGCGGCAUCCUGGACCGGCAUUGACGCUGAGGCGCGAAAGCUAGGGGAGCAAACGGG